GGGAGCCGGAUGUAGCGAAAGUUGCACGUCCGGUUCUAAUUGGGAGGGGCGGGAGAUAAUACUCCCCCUCGACCUAAC
This is a non-coding RNA of Cylindrospermum stagnale PCC 7417, 78 nucleotides long. The record is from Rfam. Lineage: Bacteria; Bacillati; Cyanobacteriota; Cyanophyceae; Nostocales; Nostocaceae.